AGCGCAACCCUUAUCGUUAGUUGCCAGCGGAUAAUGCCGGGGCCUCUAGCGAGACUGCCACCGUAAGGUGUGAGGAAGGUGGGGAUGACGUCAAAUCAGCACGGCCCUUAUGUCCAGGGCUACACACGUGCUACAAUGGCCAGUACAAAGGGCAGCUACCUGGUGACAGGAUGCUAAUCUCUAAAGUUGGUCUCAGUUCGGAUCGAAGUCUGCAACCCGACUUCGUGAAGCUGGAUUCGCUAGUAAUCGCAUAUCAGCCAUGAUGCGGUGAAUACGUUCCCGGGCCUUGUACACACCGCCCGUCAAACAAUGGAAGCCGGGGGUACCUGAAGUCUGUAACCGCAAGGAGCGGCCUAGGGUAAAACUGGUAACUGGUGUUAAGUCGUAACAAGGUAGCCGUACCGGAAGGUGUGGCUGGAACACCUCCUUU
This 430-nucleotide ribosomal RNA is filed under the name Bacteroidota bacterium. RNAcentral describes it as "bacterial SSU rRNA". It matches the Rfam family "Bacterial small subunit ribosomal RNA", at positions 1095 to 1533 of the family's 1533-position model. The record is from RNAcentral. Lineage: Bacteria; Pseudomonadati; Bacteroidota.